UUUAAAGUCUAAUCUGCCCUAUGAGGAUUUAAAUGGCCGCGGUACUUUGACCGUGCAAAGGUAGCAUAAUAAUUAGUUUUUUAAUUGAAAGCUGGAAUGAACGAUUGGACGAGAAAAUAACUGUCUCAAUUUAAUUUUAUUAGAAUUUUAUUUUUAAGUAAAAAAGCUUAAAUUUUGUUAAAAGACGAGAAGACCCUAUAGAGUUUUAUAGUUAAUUAAUUGUUAAUUUUUUAGUAUUAUUUUAUUGGUAAUUAAUUAGUUAUUUUAUUGGGGCGAUAGAGAAAUAUAAUUAACUUUUUUUUUAUUUAAACAUUAAUUUAUGAUUUUAUGAUCCAUAAUUUAUGAUUAUAAGAUUAAGUUACCUUAGGGAUAACAGCGUAAUUUUUUUUUARAGUUCUAAUCGAAAAAAAAGGUUGCGACCUCGAUGUUGGAUUAAAAUUAAUGCUUGGUGCAGGAGCUAAGUAAUUAGGUCUGUUCGACCUUUAAAAUUUUACAUGAUCUGAGUUUAAACCGGCGUGAGCCAGGUUGGUUUCUAUCUUUAAUUAAUUAAAAUAUUUUAGUACGAAAGGACCAAGUAUUUAUAAAAUUUUAUUUUAUAUUUGAAUAAUAUUG
This 612-nucleotide ribosomal RNA is filed under the name Maladera burmeisteri. Its description in RNAcentral is "partial 16S large subunit ribosomal RNA". It matches the Rfam family "Bacterial large subunit ribosomal RNA", at positions 1844 to 2773 of the family's 2925-position model. The record is from RNAcentral. Lineage: Eukaryota; Metazoa; Arthropoda; Insecta; Coleoptera; Scarabaeidae.